RNAcentral lists this ribosomal RNA (372 nucleotides) under uncultured bacterium. Its description in RNAcentral is "bacterial SSU rRNA". It matches the Rfam family "Bacterial small subunit ribosomal RNA", at positions 1135 to 1505 of the family's 1533-position model. The record is from RNAcentral.
UCCAUUUAGCGAGAAUGCCGGUAAUAAACCGGAGGAAGGUGGGGAUGACGUCAAAUCAUCAUGCCCCUUAUGACCUGGGCUACACACGUGCUACAAUGGCUGGUACAACGAGUCGCAAGCCGGUGACGGCAAGCUAAUCUCUUAAAGCCAGUCUCAGUUCGGAUUGUAGGCUGCAACUCGCCUACAUGAAGUCGGAAUCGCUAGUAAUCGCGGAUCAGCACGCCGCGGUGAAUACGUUCCCGGGCCUUGUACACACCGCCCGUCACACCACGAGAGUUUGUAACACCCGAAGUCGGUGAGGUAACCUUUUAGGACCCACCCCCCUAAGGUGGGAUAAAUGAUUGGGGUGAAGUCUUAACAGGGAAACCUAAA